GCCGAAGUGGCGGAAUGGCAGACGCGCUACGUUCAGGGCGUAGUGUCCGCAAGGACGUGUGGGUUCAAGUCCCACCUUCGGCACCA
Molecule: transfer RNA, 86 nt
Filed under: Chloroflexota bacterium
Lineage: Bacteria; Bacillati; Chloroflexota
Also listed under: 1 other name
Description: tRNA-Leu
Rfam family: tRNA
About the family: Transfer RNA (tRNA) molecules are approximately 80 nucleotides in length. Their secondary structure includes four short double-helical elements and three loops (D, anti-codon, and T loops). Further hydrogen bonds mediate the characteristic L-shaped molecular structure. tRNAs have two regions of fundamental functional importance: the anti-codon, which is responsible for specific mRNA codon recognition, and the 3' end, to which the tRNAs corresponding amino acid is attached (by aminoacyl-tRNA synthetases). tRNAs cope with the degeneracy of the genetic code in two manners: having more than one tRNA (with a specific anti-codon) for a particular amino acid; and 'wobble' base-pairing, i.e. permitting non-standard base-pairing at the 3rd anti-codon position.
Source: RNAcentral